Molecule: ribosomal RNA, 506 nt
Filed under: uncultured bacterium
Lineage: Bacteria
Description: partial 16S ribosomal RNA
Rfam family: Bacterial small subunit ribosomal RNA
Source: RNAcentral
AUUGAACGCUGGCGGCAGGCCUAACACAUGCAAGUCGAACGGCAGCACAGAAGAGCUUGCUCUUUGGGUGGCGAGUGGCGGACGGGUGCGUAAUGUCUGGGAAACUGCCCGAUGGAGGGGGAUAACUACUGGAAACGGUAGCUAAUACCGCAUAACGUCGCAAGACCAAAGUGGGGGACCUUCGGGUCUCACACCAUCGGAUGUGCCCAGAUGGGAUUAGGUAGUAGGUGGGGUAAUGGCUGACCUAGGCGACGAGCCCUAGCUGGUCUGAGAGGAUGACCAGCCACACUGGAACUGAGACACGGUCCAGACUCCUACGGGAGGCAGCAGUGGGGAAUAUUGCACAAUGGGCGCAAGCCUGAUGCAGCCAUGCCGCGUGUAUGAAGAAGGCCUUCGGGUUGUAAAGUACUUUCAGCGGGGAGGAAGGCGGUGAGGUUAAUAACCUUGCCGAUUGACGUUACCCGCAGAAGAAGCACCGGCUAACUCCGUGCCAGCCGCCGCUGUAA